GAGAAUUGGAAUGGAAAAGUGCAGAAACAGAUCAAACAUGUGCAUUCAUCUGAUUUAUGAAAAGGUGAUGCUGCAGUGCAAUGGAGACGGUAUGGUCUUUUUAAUAAACAGUGUGGGUCAAAUGGGUAUACACAUGGAAAAAAUAAUCUUGAACUCUCAUUUACACCAUACUAAAAACUAAUUUCAGAUGAAUCGUAAUCUAAAUACAAAAACAAAACAAUAAAACUCUUAGGGAUAAAAGACCAUGGUCAUGAUCUUGGGGUAGGGAGAAUCUCUUAAAUAGGACAUAAAAAGAAAAAGAUUAUAACAUGGAUUACAAGAAAAUUAAAACCUCCCGUUAAUAAAAAAAAUGAAAAAUCGCUAAAAAAAACCAAACACACCAAAACCACUAAAAAACAUACACUAAAAAACCAAAACACUGUUGAGGAGAGUGAAGAAGCAAGCCACAGUAGGGGAAAAGAGACUUGCAAUACAAAUAUCUAACAAAGGAAUAGAAUAUAUAACUACCACAAAUUAAUAAGGCAGAAACAAUCAUCUAAAGAGAAAUUAGGCAAAAUACUUGAAUAAAUACUUCUUUAAAGGGGAUAUAAAAUGGGUCCAUAAAAAUGUGAAAAGAUGCUCAACUUUAUUAGUUGUCAGGAAAAUGCAAAUUUAAACCAUAAUGAUGUAGCAGUGCAUAAUGACCAGAGUGGCUAAAAUGAAAAAAGAUAAUACUAAAUGUUGACAAAGAUGUGAAACAAGUAGAACAUUCCAUACAGUUACUGGUGAGAGUACAAACUGGUAGAAUCACUUUGGGAAACUUGAGCAGUAUCUACCAAAACUGAACACAGACAUCCCUUUAACCCAGGAUUUCCACUUCUUGAUAGAUAUCUAAGAGAAAUGCAUAACCUAUGUUCACAAAAAACAUAUACAAGUAUUUUUAUGGUAGCACUGUUUAUAAUAACCCAACUAUGAAAACAACCCAAAUGUCUAUUAACAGUAGAAUGGGUAAAUAAAUUGUAAUAUGCUUAUGCAAAGGAAUACUAUUCAAUGAUAGUGAGUAUGUACAGGCAACAACAUGGAAAAAUUUUACAAACAUAAUGCUAAAAGAAACCAGACAUAGAAGAGUACCCUCUCUGUAAUUCCAUUUGUAUAAAGUUCAAAACCAGGCAAAAUUAAUUUAAGGUAUGAGAAACUGGGAGAGUGAUUAUCCAUGGUGAGGGAUACCAGUUGGGUAGGGGGUUGUUUUAAGCACAGUGAAUUUAUCAAAUAUCCUAUUAGAAAUAAACAUUAUUUGAGUUUCCUUCACAUUUGUUAACAGUGAUCAUCAUGGUAUUUCAAGUGGGAUAAAUGAGUAACAAAAUAGUAAAAACACAAAAUUACUAUCAAAGAUACAAAUUCAAUUCAGAUUGUCAACCUUUCCUCCUCUAAAGUCUGCAUAAAACAUGUCUAGGUUUUGCAAAACUUAUAAUUCACUUUAUGAAGCCUUCACUAUAUUCUCUUUUAAGAAAAAAAUGAUAUUUUUAAUCCAUAUCUUUAUUUGCAAAACUGUAAAAAAAGAAGUGAGUAAAUUACUUUGAAAUAAAUCAAACACAGGCAGUCACUUUCCCAAUCAACCUUUUAUCUCAUCAGGACAACUGUGAACACCUAGAAUGCUGUUUCUCAAAGCCCAGUGCAUAGAAUCCCUACAUCACUACCCCUCUUAGAAUCUGUUGCCACAUCAAUAUAAAAUGGGCAUGACAAGAGCAACUAUCUAAAGUUGUUGCAAGGAUUAAAUGAGACAAUGCAUAUAAAAUUCAUUACCCCAGAACACAGUGACUGCUCAGCAGACGCUAACAUUUAAUACUAACAGUCUUAAUUUAUUUUUGAUGAUGUCAUCAUCACAAUAACCUGACAUGCUCAUUAAAUCACUAUUGAUUUCUAGACUCAACCCCGGACCUACCAAAGCUGAAGGGCCCU
RNAcentral lists this long non-coding RNA (1938 nucleotides) under Homo sapiens (human). Its description in RNAcentral is "HSALNT0076426". The record is from RNAcentral. Lineage: Eukaryota; Metazoa; Chordata; Mammalia; Primates; Hominidae.